Molecule: ribosomal RNA, 497 nt
Filed under: uncultured bacterium
Lineage: Bacteria
Description: partial 16S ribosomal RNA
Rfam family: Bacterial small subunit ribosomal RNA
Source: RNAcentral
GAUGAACGCUGGCGGCGUGCCUAAUACAUGCCAGUCGAGCGAACAGACGAGGAGCUUGCUCCUCUGACGUUAGCGGCGGACGGGUGAGUAACACGUGGAUAACCUACCUAUAAGACUGGGAUAACUUCGGGAAACCGGAGCUAAUACCGGAUAAUAUAUUGAACCGCAUGGUUCAAUAGUGAAAGACGGUUUUGCUGUCACUUAUAGAUGGAUCCGCGCCGCAUUAGCUAGUUGGUAAGGUAACGGCUUACCAAGGCAACGAUGCGUAGCCGACCUGAGAGGGUGAUCGGCCACACGGGAACUGAGACACGGUCCAGACUCCUACGGGAGGCAGCAGUAGGGAAUCUGCCGCAAUGGGCGAAAGCCUGACGGAGCAACGCCGCGUGAGUGAUGAAGGUCUUCGGAUCGUAAAACUCUGUUAUUAGGGAAGAACAAAUGUGUAAGUAACUAUGCACGUCUUGACGGUACCUAAUCAGAAAGCCACGGCUAACUACGUG